AUGAUGCGAGGUUAAGUUGAAGAGACGGAGCCGAAGGGAAACCGAGUCUUAACUGGGCGUUAAGUUGCAGGGUAUAGACCCGAAACCCGGUGAUCUAGCCAUGGGCAGGUUGAAGGUUGGGUAACACUAACUGGAGGACCGAACCGACUAAUGUUGAAAAAUUAGCGGAUGACCUGUGGCUGGGGGUGAAAGGCCAAUCAAACCGGGAGAUAGCUGGUUCUCCCCGAAAGCUAUUUAGGUAGCGCCUCGUGAAUUCAUCUUCGGGGGUAGAGCACUGUUUCGGCUAGGGGGCCAUCCCGGCUUACCAACCCGAUGCAAACUACGAAUACCGAAGAAUGUUAUCACGGGAGACACACGGCGGGUGCUAACGUCCGUCGUGAAGAGGGAAACAACCCAGACCGCCAGCUAAGGUCCCAAAGUCAUGGUUAAGUGGGAAACGAUGUGGGAAGGCACAGACAGCCAGGAUGUUGGCUUAGAAGCAGCCAUCAUUUAAAGAAAGCGUAAUAGCUCACUGGUCGAGUCGGCCUGCGCGGAAGAUGUAACGGGGCUAAACCAUGCACCGAAGCUGCGGCAGCGACACUAUGUGUUGUUGGGUAGGGGAGCGUUCUGUAAGCCGUUGAAGGUGUCCUGU
This 631-nucleotide ribosomal RNA is filed under the name Streptococcus suis. Its description in RNAcentral is "partial 23S ribosomal RNA". It matches the Rfam family "Bacterial large subunit ribosomal RNA", at positions 635 to 1264 of the family's 2925-position model. Lineage: Bacteria; Bacillati; Bacillota; Bacilli; Lactobacillales; Streptococcaceae. The record is from RNAcentral.